This 1626-nucleotide non-coding RNA is filed under the name Oryza sativa Indica Group (long-grained rice). The record is from RNAcentral. Lineage: Eukaryota; Viridiplantae; Streptophyta; Magnoliopsida; Poales; Poaceae.
GGUCGUUUCUCUUCGGGCCCAACACGAGCCCAAAAGCUUCCCAUCUUCUCCCAGAAGAUUAGCGGCGGGGGAGGCGGCGGCGACCGGCGGCGACAGGGUGGCCGGAUUUGCGGUCCCGUCUCCCUCUCCUGGGCUUCCGCCACCACCCGCGGGCGCUUCUCCUCCACCGGGAAGCCUGCCGUCGCGCGACGGCGACUCCCUUCGACUGUUCGACGCAAUGCCAGGGCAGGCCUGGUGGAGCGGAGGCGGAGCCGCUUCUUCGCUGCUUGAGGCGAGGCGUUCAGGGUGUUCGGCGAAAUGCUCGAGAGUCGCUUGUCCAGUCCUGGUCGGUGGCGACUUCGGCCGUCGAAGAUCUCGUGGGCGGCGACUGUGCUUCCGCUUCGUGAGCUUCUGAAGGACGCAUACCUUUUGAUACUACAUGCAAAGCAUCAUUCCGAGAGGUGCAUAUAAUUUAGAGCAAUCAUCGGCAUCGUGGUCAUGGUGUGUACAUGCUCUGGAAAACAACAUAGCACGACUGGCUGCCAGUGGGAGCUGGCUUAUCAUUUGGGACACCACAGGGGAGACUGGUUCUUGUGUAGACAUGGUCUAUGGACUAUGGAACGGACUGAAGCCACACAGAUCUUCAGGUGCAGCACAAACUGGAGAAAUCCUUCGGCCAGAACAGAAACAGCAUAGGGAACACAAGAUGAUUACAGAAGAUCGGCUGCACAAAGACCAAUUCUAGAAACAGCAUAGAGGCCAUUUCCAGUUCAGACGACUGUAGUGCUGUACUGCUGUGCUGCACGUCGUACACGUCGAAGUCUGAAGAGGAUUGCUGCACUGCAGAUCAAUCAAUGAUUUUCCAAUUUUCGUCAAAACAAGAAACCAAUGAUUUUCCAGGCUCAUGGACACGGUCUACCCAGGCACCCAUCCGUAGACGUGCAAAAUUAUGAAAAACUGAUGGCGAUCUGGCGAUGAAUGAAUGAAUGAUUCGGACCGCCGCUACGUUGUUGCUGCCGACGCGUUCGUUGGCCGUGUGUCCGUGUCUCGGUCUGCAGUCUUCAGUGUCUCAGUCCGAUCGGAAUGAAAUGGAAUGGAGGAGAUGGCGGUGUGAACUGUCCUUGGUAGUGGAGUUGUGGAUUGGCUCGUAUACGACAAAUGUAUUUGGAUAUUUGGCACUUGUUAUCGCUGGAAAAAAUAUAGUCAAGUCGUGUACGAGGAAAACUGCAUGCUACUACCAUACAUACGAAGGAUAUCAAGUUCUUGACAUUUUGAUAUGGAGCAUAGCAAAACUGUUCUAGUUCUCGUUUGAAAUGCGAGAAUGUGUUCACAAAAGGCUGAUUCAUUUUAUUUAAAAUUCACGCAAUAUUCCUCUGUUCGAAGGAAAGGUCUUGUUGUGUUUUUCUUUUUCUUUUUUUUUCUUUUCUAGUGCAGGCUGAUCUGCUGUGCUGAGUGCAGACCGUGGCAGAAGUGAUUUACUUUUCCUUGUAUAAGGGGGUGUUUAAAUCCGGGGUGUAAAGUUUUAGCGUGUCACAUCGAAUAUUAUAUAAGGUAUCGCAUGUGGCAGAGUUUACAUUACCGGUUGACCACUAAAUUUCGAACCCCAUCGGUAUCACCGUUUUCGAUAAAUUUUGAUCGGUUUUUGAU